This 403-nucleotide ribosomal RNA is filed under the name Verrucomicrobiota bacterium. RNAcentral describes it as "Verrucomicrobia bacterium partial 16S ribosomal RNA". It matches the Rfam family "Bacterial small subunit ribosomal RNA", at positions 355 to 776 of the family's 1533-position model. Lineage: Bacteria; Pseudomonadati; Verrucomicrobiota. The record is from RNAcentral.
UGGGGAAUAUUGCACAAUGGGCGCAAGCCUGAUGCAGCAACGCCGCGUGAACGAUGAAGGUCUUCGGAUCAUAAAGUUCUGUUGCAGGGGAAGAUAAUGACGGUACCCUGUGAGGAAGCCCCGGCUAACUACGUGCCAGCAGCCGCGGUAAUACGUAGGGGGCUAGCGUUAUCCGGAUUUACUGGGCGUAAAGGGUGCGUAGGUGGUCUUUCAAGUCGGUGGUUAAAGGCUACGGCUCAACCGUAGUUAGCCUCCGAAACUGGAAGACUUGAGUGCAGGAGAGGAAAGUGGAAUUCCCAGUGUAGCGGUGAAAUGCGUAGAUAUUGGGAGGAACACCAGUAGCGAAGGCGGCUUUCUGGACUGCAACUGACACUGAGGCACGAAAGCGUGGGUAGCAAACAGG